Molecule: ribosomal RNA, 497 nt
Filed under: uncultured bacterium
Lineage: Bacteria
Description: partial 16S ribosomal RNA
Rfam family: Bacterial small subunit ribosomal RNA
Source: RNAcentral
GAUGAACGCUGGCGGCGUGCCUAAUACAUGCAAGUCGAGCGAACGGGCGAGAAGCUUGCUCCUCUGAUGUUAGCGGCGGACGGGUGAGUAACACGUGGAUAACCUACCUAUAAGACUGGGAUAACUUCGGGAAACCGGAGCUAAUACCGGAUGAUAUUUUGAACCGCAUGGUUCAAGAGUUAAAGACGCUCUUGCUGUCACUAAUAGCUGGCCCCGCGCUGCAUUAGUUAGUUGUUAAGGUAACGGCUUACCAAGGCAACGAUGCAUAGCCGACCUGAGGGGGUGAUCGGCCACACUGGAAGUGAGACACGGUCCAGACUCCUACGGGAGGCAGCAGUAGGGAAUCUUGCGCAAUGGGCGAAAGCCUGACGGAGCAACGCGGCGUGAGUGAUGAAGGUCUUCGGAUCGUAAAACUCUGUUGUUAGGGAAGAAGAUAUGUGUAAGUAACUGUGCAGAUAUUGACGGUACCUAAUCAGAAAGCCACGGCUAACUACGUG